GUGAGGAAUAUUGGUCAAUGGGCGAGAGCCUGAACCAGCCAAGUCGCGUGAAGGAUGAAGGUUUUAUGAAUUGUAAACUUCUUUUGCAGGGGAAUAAAGUACGGUACGUGUACCGUUUUGUAUGUACUCUGCGAAUAAGGAUCGGCUAACUCCGUGCCAGCAGCCGCGGUAAUACGGAGGAUCCAAGCGUUAUCCGGAUUUAUUGGGUUUAAAGGGUGCGCAGGCGGGUUGAUAAGUCAGCGGUGAAAGUUUGCAGCUUAACUGUAAAAAUGCCGUUGAAACUGUCGGACUUGAGUGUAAAUGAGGUAGGCGGAAUGCGUGGUGUAGCGGUGAAAUGCAUAGAUAUCACGCAGAACUCCGAUUGCGAAGGCAGCUUACUAAGCUACAACUGACACUGAAGCACGAAAGCGUGGGGAUCAAACAGGAUUAGAUACCCGGGUAGUCC
This 445-nucleotide ribosomal RNA is filed under the name uncultured bacterium. RNAcentral describes it as "partial 16S ribosomal RNA". It matches the Rfam family "Bacterial small subunit ribosomal RNA", at positions 354 to 796 of the family's 1533-position model. The record is from RNAcentral.